RNAcentral lists this ribosomal RNA (396 nucleotides) under uncultured bacterium. RNAcentral describes it as "partial 16S ribosomal RNA". It matches the Rfam family "Bacterial small subunit ribosomal RNA", at positions 523 to 918 of the family's 1533-position model. The record is from RNAcentral.
AUACGUAGGUGGCAAGCGUUGUCCGGAUUUACUGGGUGUAAAGGGCGUGUAGCCGGGUUGGCAAGUCAGAUGUGAAAUCUAUGGGCUUAACUCAUAAACUGCAUUUGAAACUGCUGAUCUUGAGUAUCGGAGAGGCAAUCGGAAUUCCUAGUGUAGCGGUGAAAUGCGUAGAUAUUAGGAGGAACACCAGUGGCGAAGCCGGAUUGCUGGACGACAACUGACGGUGAGGCGCGAAAGCGUGGGGAGCAAACGGGAUUAGAUACCCUGGUAGUCCACGCUGUAAACGAUGAAUACUAGGUGUGCGGGGACUGACCCCCUGCGUGCCGCAGCUAACGCAAUAAGUAUUCCACCUGGGGAGUACGAUCGCAAGGUUGAAACUCAAAUGAAUUGACGGGG